UGCAGUCGAACGGGCACCUUCGGGUGUCAGUGGCAGACGGGUGAGUAACACGUGGGAACGUACCCUUCGGUUCGGAAUAACUCAGGGAAACUUGAGCUAAUACCGGAUACGCCCUUUUGGGGAAAGGUUUACUGCCGAAGGAUCGGCCCGCGUCUGAUUAGCUUGUUGGUGGGGUAACGGCCUACCAAGGCGACGAUCAGUAGCUGGUCUGAGAGGAUGAUCAGCCACACUGGGACUGAGACACGGCCCAGACUCCUACGGGAGGCAGCAGUGGGGAAUAUUGGACAAUGGGCGCAAGCCUGAUCCAGCCAUGCCGCGUGAGUGAUGAAGGCCUUAGGGUUGUAAAGCUCUUUUGUCCGGGACGAUAAUGACGGUACCGGAAGAAUAAGCCCCGGCUAACUUCGUGCCAGCAGCCGCGGUAAUACGAAGGGGGCUAGCGUUGCUCGGAAUCACUGGGCGUAAAGGGCGCGUAGGCGGCCGAUUAAGUCGGGGGUGAAAGCCUGUGGCUCAACCACAGAAUUGCCUUCGAUACUGGUUGGCUUGAGACCGGAAGAGGACAGCGGAACUGCGAGUGUAGAGGUGAAAUUCGU
RNAcentral lists this ribosomal RNA (590 nucleotides) under uncultured Methylobacterium sp. RNAcentral describes it as "bacterial SSU rRNA". It matches the Rfam family "Bacterial small subunit ribosomal RNA", at positions 56 to 691 of the family's 1533-position model. The record is from RNAcentral. Lineage: Bacteria; Pseudomonadati; Pseudomonadota; Alphaproteobacteria; Hyphomicrobiales; Methylobacteriaceae.